Molecule: long non-coding RNA, 619 nt
Filed under: Homo sapiens (human)
Lineage: Eukaryota; Metazoa; Chordata; Mammalia; Primates; Hominidae
Description: novel transcript
Source: RNAcentral
AGCGUAUUAUAAGAUGAUUAAAUAUGCAUAGUACAAGUAUGUUAUGGAAGGCUGUGUUAACUGAUAUAGUGGGACCACAAUAGUAUGUGUAAGUGAGAUUUGGAAAAUUUGAUAUGCCAGCAAGGACAAAGAAGUGUUGAAUUUGCAAGUUUAUGCACAUAAUUCUGAGAAUCCAGGCAGCUAUUUCUCCUUUUGAAUUGUUCUCUUGGCUAGGGGAUAAGGGUGAGACACAAUACACAUUUGAAUGUGUCACUGUGUAAGUUACCACUGCAAUAUCUUCUGUAUGUUGAAAAACUGGUACUUAUAUGUACUAAUACUAUCUACCAUGAAAAAAACAAUUAAAAAUUUAAAAUAUCAUGUAAAUUAAAUAAAGUUCAAAUACCACUAGCCAGAAAAAAAUAUUUUAUAUUAUAGUCUGGGGUCAGAAGAGGAAAACCUUAUGUAAAGUAUCAAAAUUAAUUUUUAUUUCAAUUUAAAUGCACCAUCAUAUAACAUAGUUUCAUAACUGAAAUUACAUUUGUCAGAAUUUGAUCUUUUCAUUAUUAAAGAAUUGAGGGAAAAUUGAUGGUUAUAAUAUUGAUAUGCCAUGUAAAUAAACUUUUUUUGAUUGUUAUAGGAA